AAAAAAAAAAUGAUUAUAAAAUUUCUUUUUUGAAGGUUUACUUCCAUUACACCAACGAUGUAUUUAUUUUUCAUAUUUGCUCUAAUUCUGUCACCGUGAGUCCCUAAGCCGUCUUAACAAUAAGUAAUAACCAUGACAGAAAAACUUCCAUCGGUUCUAAUUUUUUGCCCUUUUCCUAAUUCACUUAGAUGGAGCCCAUAACCCUCUGUUUUUGAGUCUCGACGCCACCAAUAGGUGCAGAUACACCCUGAGAACAACCCCUGACGAUGGUAGAGGACUCAACAGGAGGCGGCGGCGGCGGCGGCGGCGGCAGGAGAUCGAGAUUGGGUCCAGAGAGGUUUCGUUUGGAGUCGCUUAACUUGAACACCUCAAUUUCGUUUAAGAUGGCAGGGGAUGAAAUUGAAACCACACAUAGGUGUAGCAGAAAAGAAAAAGAUGGAGAAGAGAAGAGAUUAUCCAGAGACACGGAAGGCGAUGGCAUCGCUAUGUGUCCUUGUCGUCUUCAUCAUCAUUAGCCGCCCCAGCGACCUUGGUAGGGCUUCUGCCGCUGGUUCCAGUGGCGAUGGUGGAGCCACACUGGUAAAACUCUCCAGUUCGCUCCAUGUAUAAUUUCUGUGCUCGCUUUUCAUCAACCAUUACUGGUAAGGAGAAUUAAGCUAAGCAACCGAAGAUUGAUUAUAAUUGGGGAAUUAAUUCUGAUACUCCCGCAAAUAAUUUCAGUGAAGUUAAUCUUUCUCCUCUGCUUUCCCCUGCUUCUUCCUGUUAGAAGUCAUGUGGAUGAUGCAGCAAUUUGGAAUUUUUUGCUCCUUCAAUCACGGUAAUUACCCGAGAACUGAAAGUCCUCUAAGCGACUUAUAAGACAAAUGGUAUAGCAAGACAGCGUACGAGGGAGAGGAUCUGGACUCCAACAUCUCCGUCAUUUGCCAGGAAAUCCCAAGCUAAAGUCUUUUCCAAUCGAGAAAUUUCGUUUUGUGUUGUUGCAGUCUCUCCGUAUUCUUCAUGUCAACCGAACAGGGUGAUGGGUAUCAUCAGAGGAUUGGAGGGUUACCGUUGUAUUACUGGUAGCAAUCUAGCUAACGUGAAAAACGACGAGGCGCCUCUCCGUAUUCUUCGUGUCAACAUCUUGGAAGUUUCGUCGAAGCUGCUUAGGCAAGAGACUUUGACUAGGUUACCCAAAGGUCACGACAAUGGGAGGACUUUUACAUUGAGAAAUUGCGUGGUGGUUGUUCUAUCGUCGUUUCUAUUUUUUUAUUUUUUUUUAAUAUUCUAUCGUUUUGAACUUUCUGGUGGAAGUUUUCUUACCAGAGGAAAAAGAUGAACUUCCAGGAAGGCUGAGGGUUUGCUCUUGGGAAGACGAACUUAUGCAUAUAUUGCUUCCUAGCCCCAGAUUUUAUACUCUCCAUAUUAUCCAUAUAUUGCAGUGGAGAAAAGCCGCGCGAGAAGAAAAUUUUCAAAACGGGGACGGGAUAUCGUUCUUCCUGGAAAAAUAAAAAUCCUAUGGAUAUGAAGACUGGUGACACCCAACAACAGAAAAGGCCUUCCUGCAACAAUAGAAGUAGCCGUCAAGCUCAGACACAGGAGAGUAACUUCUUACCUAUGAUGUCCUUAUGUUUCCUGACUGUCAACGGCGUGGUCACAUUUGUCCGAGCCCAUGCUCAUGGCGACACCUCCACGAUGGCCUUCGUUCUCUUCCUUUACUUUGGAUUCUUAUCUUUGUUCUGUUGUUUGAAAGCCUUUGAUCACUUCCCACCCCAUGAGGAGUCUCCCAAGAAAGAGCUGUUGAAGGUUGCAAUAUGGGUGAUUUCCACAUCUCUGAAUGUUGGCCUUGCCGUUAGGUUUGCCCCUUUGAUCCACCCCAUUGGUGCUAUCUUUAUCUGUGCCUUGGCAUCGGUAAGUAGUGGUUUUGGCUUUUACUUCUUCUUCAUCCACCGUGUAGACCCUAGUGAUGUCCAUAAUGGCAGCUGCAAAAGCUAUGCUGACAACAAGAAGAAGAAGUUCUUUGUGGUAUCUUCUCUACCUCUGAAAGUGGCUCAGAAGGACACCAAGCCCUCUGAGUCCACUUCGCCUUUAGAAAAUGUCUAGUUACGAAGUGAUUUAAGACAAUACUCCCACCACCACCACCAGCGUCUCUUUCUUUCUUCUUCUUUUUUUUUUUUUUGGGUGUUGGUGAGGGGGUGGGGUGUUGAACCAGACUCUCUUCAUUUCCUGUUGUUUUGUGGUUGUGGGUUCUACUAUUGUGGAGUGUACUGUGGACAUACUCUCUGGUGUCAAAAGUCUACACCCAAGUUGUAUGGCUGUGUCCAGUAAGAAGGAUAUCUGGAGUUCCUGAUGACCAACAAUUCUGGCUUUCUUUGGUAUCCUUUCUAUUUCUAUUUCUACUUUAUUUCAAAGUUUAUUUAUGAGUAAUAUUUUGGUCAGAAAUAUAAAUUGUUCUAUAUUUAGUAGAUAAAAUAGUUUCUAUAAUGAAAAAAAUAUGUUUGGUAUGUUUAUGUGUGGAAUAAGUUAUGUAAUCUUGAUAUUAUUUUUUUUGAAUAAGUGAUAGUGUUGCCAAUAAUUGUAAUAGAAAAGAAUAUUGAGAAAUGUAUAACUUGUCUGUUUUUUUAAA
Molecule: RNA transcript, 2605 nt
Organism: Macadamia integrifolia
Lineage: Eukaryota; Viridiplantae; Streptophyta; Magnoliopsida; Proteales; Proteaceae
Exons: 2
Source: RefSeq, a predicted model, not a curated record